RNAcentral lists this long non-coding RNA (354 nucleotides) under Brassica napus (rape). RNAcentral's name for it is "long non-coding RNA (BNAP_LNC024371)". Lineage: Eukaryota; Viridiplantae; Streptophyta; Magnoliopsida; Brassicales; Brassicaceae. The record is from RNAcentral.
UAGAAAGUGAAUACACACAAAAGAGAAAAAAAGAACUAACCCCAUCAAAUUGACACAAAGCUGAAUAUUUAGCUCGAUCGAGAGCUCCAACAUCGGACCACCGUAUGUGUUGUCUCUGAUUGCCUUGUAAGUUAACUGAUAUGGCCGAAGAGUGCCACCUUCACACAAUUGAAGAAGUCACACCUCCCAUCUCUAUCUUAGUAAACUCCACUCUCUCUUUCUCUCUCUCUCUAUGUUUCUAUCUUUUACUCUGGUCUGUAUAUGUGAUUCGUGUUGGUGGUGACGUUUCAGAGAAGAAUACAAAACUGGUGAUGAUUAUCGUGAGUUAAAUAUCAAGUAAUGGGAUGGCUGAAU